UCUGCAGUCGAGCGAACUGAUUAGAAGCUUGCUUCUAUGACGUUAGCGGCGGACGGGUGAGUAACACGUGGGCAACCUGCCUGUAAGACUGGGAUAACUUCGGGAAACCGAAGCUAAUACCGGAUAGGAUCUUCUCCUUCAUGGGAGAUGAUUGAAAGAUGGUUUCGGCUAUCACUUACAGAUGGGCCCGCGGUGCAUUAGCUAGUUGGUGAGGUAACGGCUCACCAAGGCAACGAUGCAUAGCCGACCUGAGAGGGUGAUCGGCCACACUGGGACUGAGACACGGCCCAGACUCCUACGGGAGGCAGCAGUAGGGAAUCUUCCGCAAUGGACGAAAGUCUGACGGAGCAACGCCGCGUGAGUGAUGAAGGCUUUCGGGUCGUAAAACUCUGUUGUUAGGGAAGAACAAGUACGAGAGUAACUGCUCGUACCUUGACGGUACCUAACCAGAAAGCCACGGCUAACUACGUGCCAGCAGCCGCGGUAAUACGUAGGUGGCAAGCGUUAUCCGGAAUUAUUGGGCGUAAAGCGCGCGCAGGCGGUUUCUUAAGUCUGAUGUGAAAGCCCACGGCUCAACCGUGGAGGGUCAUUGGAAACUGGGGAACUUGAGUGCAGAAGAGAAAAGCGGAAUUCCACGUGUAGCGGUGAAAUGCGUAGAGAUGUGGAGGAACACCAGUGGCGAAGGCGGCUUUUUGGUCUGUAACUGACGCUGAGGCGCGAAAGCGUG
This 727-nucleotide ribosomal RNA is filed under the name Bacillus sp. FJAT-4613. RNAcentral's name for it is "bacterial SSU rRNA". It matches the Rfam family "Bacterial small subunit ribosomal RNA", at positions 54 to 763 of the family's 1533-position model. Lineage: Bacteria; Bacillati; Bacillota; Bacilli; Caryophanales; Bacillaceae. The record is from RNAcentral.